RNAcentral lists this long non-coding RNA (1519 nucleotides) under Bemisia tabaci. Its description in RNAcentral is "lncRNA ENSSSA1UGG004104". The record is from RNAcentral. Lineage: Eukaryota; Metazoa; Arthropoda; Insecta; Hemiptera; Aleyrodidae.
UGAUGACUAACUAUCGCAUUCUUCCAUUCAGCGAAAAUUGAGGUAAUGGGAACAAUUUUUCUGGAGAGAUUUAAUGGAAACUGCCAGAGUUCUCGGUUAGUAAAUUAAAAGUUACGACACGUACGGAAAUAUGCUGGGGUCCGUUUGCGCGUGCGCGCAGAGAGGGGUGCAACGCGGCCCGCCAAUUUUUGAAAAUGGCGCGUAAAGCAAGCGCGGGUUCCCGCGCGGGAGGGGGGGGGGGGGUGUCCUCCCUUACCAGGGUGUCUAGUUUUUUUCAUUUUGGGAAAUCCUGAUUUUUCCUGAUUUCAUAAUUUUUCCAGAUCCUGAUUUUUGUGAAUUUGAAUUUUUCCGAAUGUCACUUCACAUAAAUAGCUCGAUAAGAAAAUCCGAUCGGACGGCCGACUUUUCUCAAAUCCUGAUUUUACGACCGAUUUUUCCUUAAAUCCUGAUCGAACUCAAAUCCGGAUAGAAUCGGGAAAAUCUGGAAAGUUCUGAUGCUAGACACCCUGACCUCAGUCGAGACCAUAGAAUGAGCGGAAUUUUCCGACUUGAAGUUUUUUUCGGAUACCUAAAGAAGCCGGGUGCUUAAAAUACGAGUAUGCCGGAAUCAAAUAUCACUAUGGGGGAUGUGAAAUAACGUGUGGAAAUUUACUCCACUCCUUCGGAAAAAAGUACCUCGGGUGACAUAAUAAAAAGGAACGGUUGUGGAAGUUCUUGAGAUUUGAGGGUUUAACUCUUCGGUAUUUCCGAAAAUUUGUACGGAUUAUAGAGUGUGAAUGCCUAACUCUUGUGGAAAAAAACUCGCAUGGCUUGUCUUUUUUAUUUAGAGCAAGUGGCAAUUGUAAAAUUCCAAAGAAAUGUUAAUGAUUCCUAAAUCAUUAGAGUGGAAAGGGUCUGUGAUAGGGAAAUCACCCUUGCUUUACAGAUGAGCAACAACAGGGAGUGAAGAUAAAUACAUAUCUAUCAAACUAUCAUACAUCACUUCCUACUUUAUGGAGAAAUGACUAAAUAAGCGCACUGAGUACCGGCUCCCCUCCCCUCAGGUUAAAAUUUCAAGUUCAUCUAUGCCUAACGCUGAGAACAAGCGUUGUUUUUCAUUUUGAUAGUCAAACUUUGUUAUUUGUUUAAAAGGAAUGGACAAGUUGUUUAAUGCUGACCUCUCCUCAACCAUUUCUGAGUGAGCAUCUAGGCUUGUGAAAAAAUUCUCAUAGAAACCUCUACCACUUGCUCCGAUAGAAUGAGAAAGCAAAGAAGAAGAAAUACUUAAUUUUAAAGUUUGGACUGUUACGUUUGUUCCUUUUUAUUUUUCAACACUCUAAACGAUCGAAGAAACUUAAAGUAAGUUGGAAGCUUCGCAUUAAUACCUUUUUAAAUCAUGUUUCUUUUCCUUCGUAUUACAUUGAAGGAGGACAUGAAAAGCGAAUUUAACUUUCGAUCGUUCUCUCAUAAAAGGGGCUGAUAGGUGUAAGAAGACAUUCCAAUAUAAAAUUUUUAUAAUUUUAUUUUAAACCAAGAGCAA